UGUCUCAGACAGUAGAGAAUCUGCCUGCAAGGCAGGAAACCCAGGUUCAGACCCUGG
Molecule: transfer RNA, 57 nt
Filed under: Ovis aries (sheep)
Lineage: Eukaryota; Metazoa; Chordata; Mammalia; Artiodactyla; Bovidae
Source: Rfam by way of RNAcentral